GCCCGUCACACUAUGGGAGCUGGUCAUGCCCAAAGUCAUUACCUUAACCGCAAUGAGGGGGAUGCCGAAGGCAGGGCUAGUGACUGGAGUGAAGA
Non-coding RNA from Gossypium arboreum, 95 nucleotides. NCBI's taxonomy places the organism in Eukaryota, Viridiplantae, Streptophyta, Magnoliopsida, Malvales, Malvaceae. The record is from Rfam.